UGGGGAAUCUUGGACAAUGGGCGCAAGCCUGAUCCAGCCAUGCCGCGUGGAUGAUGAAGGCCUUAGGGUUGUAAAAUCCUUUCGUGGGGGACGAUAAUGACGGUACCCCAAGAAGAAGCUCCGGCUAACUUCGUGCCAGCAGCCGCGGUAAUACGAAGGGGGCUAGCGUUGUUCGGAUUUACUGGGCGUAAAGCGCGUGUAGGCGGGUCGUUAAGUUGGGGGUGAAAUCCCGAGGCUCAACCUCGGAACUGCCUUCAAAACUGGCGACCUGGACUCAAGCAGAGGCAAGUGGAAUUGCGAGUGUAGAGGUGAAAUUCGUAGAUAUUCGCAGGAACACCAGUGGCGAAGGCGACUUGCUGGGCUUGUAGUGACGCUGAGGCGCGAAAGCGUGGGGAGCAAACAGGAUUAGAUACCCCAGUAGUCCCUGAGCGGGCUGGCAAGGCGCAU
RNAcentral lists this ribosomal RNA (447 nucleotides) under uncultured bacterium. RNAcentral describes it as "bacterial SSU rRNA". It matches the Rfam family "Bacterial small subunit ribosomal RNA", at positions 355 to 825 of the family's 1533-position model. The record is from RNAcentral.